AGAGUUGAUCCUGGCUCAGGAUGAACGCUAGCUACAGGCUUAACACAUGCAAGUCGAGGGGCAGCAUGGGAUUAGCUUGCUAAUCCUGAUGGCGACCGGCGCACGGGUGAGUAACGCGUAUCCAACCUUCCCCUUACUCAGGGAUAGCCCGCUGAAAGGCGGAUUAACACCUGAUGGUUUCAUUAGAUGGCAUCUGACGAUGAAUAAAGGCUUACGGUAAGGGAUGGGGAUGCGUCUGAUUAGCUUGUUGGCGGGGUAACGGCCCACCAAGGCAACGAUCAGUAGGGGUUCUGAGAGGAAGGUCCCCCACAUUGGAACUGAGACACGGUCCAAACUCCUACGGGAGGCAGCAGUGAGGAAUAUUGGUCAAUGGGCGAGAGCCUGAACCAGCCAAGUAGCCGUGCAGGAUGACGGCCCUAUGGGUUGUAAACUGCUUUUGUACGGGAAUAAAGUGACCUACGUGUAGGUUUUUGCAUGUACCGUAAGAAUAAGGACCGGCUAAUUCCGUGCCAGCAGCGGC
Molecule: ribosomal RNA, 520 nt
Filed under: uncultured bacterium
Lineage: Bacteria
Description: bacterial SSU rRNA
Rfam family: Bacterial small subunit ribosomal RNA
Source: RNAcentral